CGGGACGGGUGAGUAAUGUCUGGGAAACUGCCCGAUGGAGGGGGAUAACUACUGGAAACGGUAGCUAAUACCGCAUAACGUCGCAAGACCAAAGAGGGGGACCUUCGGGCCUCUUGCCAUCGGAUGUGCCCAGAUGGGAUUAGCUGGUAGGUGGGGUAACGGCUCACCUAGGCGACGAUCCCUAGCUGGUCUGAGAGGAUGAUCAGCCACACUGGGACUGAGACACGGCCCAG
RNAcentral lists this ribosomal RNA (233 nucleotides) under uncultured bacterium. Its description in RNAcentral is "partial 16S ribosomal RNA". It matches the Rfam family "Bacterial small subunit ribosomal RNA", at positions 100 to 334 of the family's 1533-position model. The record is from RNAcentral.